GAUAAAAACAAAUGUCAAAAUACUGAAUUUCCCAGAGGAAGGAAUUGUGUUUUCUGAACAGCUCUACUGAUGAGUUGCUAUUCAUACCAUGUGAUUGGUUUGUAUCCUAAUAGGAUGGCCUACGUGGAUUUAUAAACUCAGGCCACCUUUCUAGCCCCUGUUAAACAAGAUGCUUAUGCAGAUGCUUAAUCCGCAGCACCUGAGGAAUAUCCCAUUGAUUUCAGUGUUGAACUGGUACCUCUGUUUGUGAAGUAGUUCUCCAUGAACAGGCCCAGGAUUUCACCCAUGCAGUUCACCCUGUUGUCUUUCUGCUCAUCCAGCAGCGUGAGCUGUGCCUACUCCACCCAACACCCUUCAGCAGGUUCAGCAGGUGGCUUGCUGAAAUCACCAGCUUGGAACAUUUGUGCAUUUCUCCUCUGUUGCUGUUUCACUGUUUCAACAGUUCUGUGGAGCAGGUUUAUUGUGGGCAUCCUGACGGGUGCUGCGCUCCUCAGAUUAACCCCACACCAACUCAACAUCUACUCAGCUACAAAACAAGAGUUUAGGUCUUGCAGCCCCCAGCCGGCCUCACAAACCCUCCACCCCUCUGGCCUGAAUGGCCCCUACAUCUCUGUUCUGAAGCCCACCCUACCCUGUACCCCACCACGCCUCUGCUUUGAGGGCCCCUCUACACACACCUGCCCACCAUGAUGGGGGGGGCGGCCAUUUUGUAUCUGUUGUUUUUUAACGGUACUUGAACUGACCACACCGAAACCACCACUUUAACUGCGGCCGCAACUUCUGAACCAAACUGGCGCCGCUUUCUUACAGCCUUAAUCAUGGUUCCCUCUGCCUAACUAUCGCCUCUGCCCCAUGGACCCCAUUCAGCAGCGAUCUGUGGUGGCAGAGAAACAAAAAGCCAUGGAGUGCCCUUUCAGAGCUCGAGCCCCAUCUUAUUUCAGCAGCAGGUUACCGAUUGACUCGUUCGGUUCACAAAUUAUAUGUUAUUUACCAUCUCUUUGACAGUUUUACCAUAUAUGGAGGCCACAGUGAGUCCAUUCAAACUACAUCACAAAACACGUUUUAUAAUCUGUGGGUUUUUAUGACAGCCAAAUUAUACUCCUUGGCUUUUAAGGGAAUAUAUUAAGUUAGCUUUCACUCUAAGUGACAUGACAUAUGAUUUCUCAUUUUAAACAAAAAAAUAGACCAAGUUUGUAAUUUCAGCCUGCUGCACGUUUUUCAUUUCGCAUGAUUUAAUGCUUUCGGCCGAGAGCGAUUGGAACAGAAGACGAAUCCUCAUGCAGGUGUAUAUUGAAAGCUCCUGCAAGCUCCGUUUUGACUAAUGCAGCUACACUCAGUCCACAGCCGUUUGGUUCCCUUUGGUUUUUUCCCCUCUUUUCUAGCAUCAGCGUGAAAAUCGCAGCGUGCCUUGAGUAUAGAAAGGGGCUUUGUUAAAAUCGUCCCUUUGGCAAAAGCAGCACACGGAUACUGGAAACAGACACGAACACUGUGCCCUCCAGUUUCUCCUGGGGGAAUAAGAAAAGGAAGAUACAAAUCUUUGACAAUAAAUGAGGCAGGUGGUGGGGAGUUUGAGGAGUC
This is a long non-coding RNA of Chrysemys picta bellii (western painted turtle), 1578 nucleotides long. The record is from Ensembl. Lineage: Eukaryota; Metazoa; Chordata; Testudines; Emydidae.